AACAAGGAUUCCCCUAGUAACGGCGAGUGAACCGGGAAGAGCUCAAAUUUGAAAUCUGGCGUGCUCAGUGCGUCCGAGUUGUAAUCUAUAGAGUCGUUUUCCGUGCCGGACUGUGUCCAAGUCCCUUGGAACAGGGUAUCAAAGAGGGUGAUAAUCCCGUACUUGACACAAUGACCGGUGCUCUGUGAUACGUCUUCUACGAGUCGAGUUGUUUGGGAAUGCAGCUCAAAAUGGGUGGUGAGUUCCAUCUAAAGCUAAAUAUUGGCGAGAGACCGAUAGCGAACAAGUACCGUGAGGGAAAGAUGAAAAGCACUUUGGAAAGAGAGUUAAACAGUACGUGAAAUUGUUAAAAGGGAAACGAUUGAAGUCAGUCGUGACUGAGAGGCUCAGCCGGUUCUGCCGGUGUAUUCCCCUCAGUCGGGUCAACAUCAGUUUUGUUCGGUGGAUAAGGGCAGUUGGAAGGUGGCACCCUCGGGUGUGUUAUAGCCAGCUGUCGCAUACAUCGGAUGAGACUGAGGAAUGCAGCUCGCCUUUAUGGCCGGGGUUCGCCCACGUUCGAGCUUAGGAUGUUGACAUAAUGGCUUUAAACGACCC
Molecule: ribosomal RNA, 594 nt
Filed under: Papiliotrema flavescens
Lineage: Eukaryota; Fungi; Basidiomycota; Tremellomycetes; Tremellales; Rhynchogastremaceae
Description: partial 26S ribosomal RNA
Rfam family: Eukaryotic large subunit ribosomal RNA
Source: RNAcentral